Molecule: ribosomal RNA, 574 nt
Filed under: Colletotrichum siamense
Lineage: Eukaryota; Fungi; Ascomycota; Sordariomycetes; Glomerellales; Glomerellaceae
Description: eukaryotic LSU rRNA
Rfam family: 5.8S ribosomal RNA (bases 203-356)
Source: RNAcentral
UCCGUAGGUGAACCUGCGGAGGGAUCAUUACUGAGUUUACGCUCUACAACCCUUUGUGAACAUACCUAUAACUGUUGCUUCGGCGGGUAGGGUCUCCGUGACCCUCCCGGCCUCCCGCCCCCGGGCGGGUCGGCGCCCGCCGGAGGAUAACCAAACUCUGAUUUAACGACGUUUCUUCUGAGUGGUACAAGCAAAUAAUCAAAACUUUUAACAACGGAUCUCUUGGUUCUGGCAUCGAUGAAGAACGCAGCGAAAUGCGGUAAGUAAUGUGAAUUGCAGAAUUCAGUGAAUCAUCGAAUCUUUGAACGCACAUUGCGCCCGCCAGCAUUCUGGCGGGCAUGCCUGUUCGAGCGUCAUUUCAACCCUCAAGCUCUGCUUGGUGUUGGGGCCCUACAGCCGAUGUAGGCCCUCAAAGGUAGUGGCGGACCCUCCCGGAGCCUCCUUUGCGUAGUAACUUUACGUCUCGCACUGGGAUCCGGAGGGACUCUUGCCGUAAAACCCCCAAUUUUCCAAAGGUUGACCUCGGAUCAGGUAGGAAUACCCGCUGAACUUAAGCAUAUCAAUAAGCGGAGGA